CCUACGGGAGGCAGCAGUGGGGAAUAUUGCGCAAUGGGCGAAAGCCUGACGCAGCGACGCCGCGUGAGGGAUGAAGGUCUUCGGAUCGUAAACCUCUGUCAGCAGGGAAGAACGGUCACUGUGCUAAUCAGCAGUCACUUGACGGUUCCUGCAAAGGAAGCACCGGCUAACUCCGUGCCAGCAGCUGCGGUAAUACGGAGGGUGCGAGCGUUAAUCGGAAUUACUGGGCGGAAAGCGCUCGUAGGCGGUAUGUCAAGUCAAGGGUGAAAUCCCCGCGCUCAACGUGGGAACUGCCUUUGAAACUGGCAAACUAGAGUGUGGGAGAGGAUAGUGGAAUUCCAGGUGUAGGAGUGAAAUCCGUAGAUAUCAGGAGGAACAUCAGUGGCGAAGGCGACUAACUGGCACAUAACUGACGCUGAGGAGCGAAAGCGUGGGUAGCAAACAGGAUUAGAUACCCUAGUAGUC
This 465-nucleotide ribosomal RNA is filed under the name uncultured bacterium. Its description in RNAcentral is "partial 16S ribosomal RNA". It matches the Rfam family "Bacterial small subunit ribosomal RNA", at positions 338 to 795 of the family's 1533-position model. The record is from RNAcentral.